Molecule: long non-coding RNA, 2699 nt
Filed under: Mus musculus (house mouse)
Lineage: Eukaryota; Metazoa; Chordata; Mammalia; Rodentia; Muridae
Description: long non-coding RNA chr16:72412744-72415443
Source: RNAcentral
AUUGAUGUACACAGGUUGUAGAUGGUAUGCUGUUUAUAGCAAGCAUCCAUUUUUCAUUUCUCCUGUCCGUUGGGAUCUAACGUAAAUCAAAACAACUCAAAUGUUUUUAAUUUUAAUGUGGGGUCAGCAGCUGCUCCCCAGAACUCCAGUUGCCACCAAAGUGUGAUUUUCUUGAGCCUAGUCAGACUGACAGUGGACCGAGAUCUGGUUACACAUCAAGAUACUUACCGUACAUAUGCCCAUUAGCGAGCAGAGCAACAAAGAAAUCUGUUUACUUAAACGCACACUUUUGCCCAAGUCCAGCAGUUACAGUGCUUAAGUAACUGCCCCUACAGCGCUAUGAAUCAUGAUAGUGGAGAAAUGUAAUCAAUUCCUGACAAGACCUUUUGAUGUGCGCCAUUGUCAUUUGACAUAACAAAUGACCUAUUUAAGGAGUGUGGGGCUAAACUCAGCUGCUUAAAGGAAAGGGAGUUUAAGCGAAUAUUUCCAACAGUUUACUUUAAAUGUUUAUCUUUGAACCAGUUCUUUAAAAAAAUGUAUAGUUAGACUCAGCUUACUUUUCAAAGGAAAAUAGAAGUAAAUUGGAAAAGCUCAUUUGAGCCCCAAAAGCUUCCUCUCUAAUGUAGUAUUCAUAAGACAAUUGCUUUAAACCCUGGCUGACCCGAGAGUUAUACUAGGAUUGCCUGAGUUUUAAUAAUUAGUCACCUCCAAGAAUUCUAACGUUUUCCGUUAUUCUAGGUUUAUGAUUUGAAAACCUAACUUUUGUAAGUCUAAAGGCACCAAAGUAACGUACGGUGUUUUACAUUUUUACUUAAAGCAUGUUUGGGUUAGCUACACAGGCAGACAAACAAUGUAAAUCAGAGAGACAAGGCCAGCCAUGGUCUGAUUUGAAGUCCGUGAUUCAAAAGUAUACACCAUUGGUCAAAAGUAUACACCAUUCAUAGCUUAGUCUCCCUAGCAUGUAUGUUUCUCCAAGUGCAGAAUUCUAACACACCACAGAACAAAUGCCAAGCUCUGAGUAGUAAUUUCAUCUGGAACUGCACUAGUCGUCUUUAAGUCAUGCAAAAUAAAGUAACUCCAUUUCAGUUGGUGAUCUAUCUCGCUCCUACCAUCAAAGCACCCUACUGAGGAGUCUGAGAUGGUACAAACUGAGAUGAUGAUAUGCACUGAGUCACCCCAAAGUCACAAUUCUCUUGCCCAGUCUAUAGAGAAAGCAUUACUAUUCAUCACUUAAGGCUGGGAUAUCUAUUAACAGUCCUGUUGUAAAUCAAGGUUAUUUAAAAGAUGGUGGAUGCUUCUUUACUUACCAUUAUGUGGAGUGUUAGGUUAGUGUACUCAUGGAUCAUGUAGAACAUUUGUUAGAGAGAGUGUUUGGACAGAAGCGAGUUCUCCACCUUGCACCAUUACUCUGAAAAUGUGCAUCUCUUCUUCAAUGCCGUCCCUCAGCUCUUUGUCCAUACUGCACUUGGGUUCCUGAUCCUGCUGUUUCUAGUGUCUAUGAAAACCAGCUUCUCUUUCUUUUAGAAUUCAACUGAUACGAGUGUGUUAUUUUAUUUGUGUAUGUAAAUGUUCAUGAAAUGACAAUGGAGAUUGGCAUGCAAAUUUCAUUUUUUUUAUUUUUUUAUUUUUUAAAAUAUAAUCAGAGCUCUUCAGUCACUUGUUUAGCUAUCUUUUCAACACCUAUUCGUGUGUCCAGCAUUUUUUCAAGACACCAACCUGUAUGUGGGUAGCUGUUUCCAACUCAUCAGACUCUUUAUCUGUAAUCUUUGCUCCAUGAUUUAGAAUUCAAAACUAGCAAAUCAUGAUUUAUUCUUUUUUUAUCCUCUUUCAGAAUAGCAUAUUUAUUUUCUCUUUUCUUCUUUUCUUUUAUUGGAUAUUUUAUUUAUUUACAUUUCAAAUGUUAUCCCCUUUUCCUGUUUCCCCUCCAGAAACCCCCUAUCCCAUUCCCCUCCCCCUGCUUCUAUGAAAAUGUUCCCACACCCACACACUCCUGCCUCUCUGCCCUGGAAUUCCCCUACACAGGGGCAUCGAGCCUUACAGGGCCAAGGUCCUUCCCUCCCGUUGAUGUCCAACAAGGCUAUUCUCUGCUACAUAUGCGGCUAUAGCUAUGGGUCCCUCCCUGUGUACUCUUUGGUUGAUGGUUUAGUUCCUGGGAGCUCUGUGGAGGUCUGUUUGGUUGAUAUUGUUGUUCUUCCUAUGGGAUUGCAAACCCCUUCAGCUCCUUCAGUCCUUUCUCUAACUAUUCCAUUGGGGACCCCGUGCUCAGUCCAAUCAACCACUCUCUUUUUCUUCUUCUGUUUCUUCAUUUUGGGGACAAGAUCAUCAUACCAGAUUUCCUGGACUGACUUGGAAAAUUCGAUCCUUUUACUUCAGGAAUAGCUGGGUCUCAUAGCUCUAUGCUCCUAGGCCCAGCUUCGAGCAUUCUUCUUAUAAGAAUAUUUUGACAAAUAAGUGCGCAUUCCUGUCAGGAAGAUUAUUUCUCCCACUCUUUGUAUUUUUUUUUUUUUUACUCCUCUGGAGUUCUUAUUGUAGGGUUUAGGGCUUAGGUGACAUUAUCCAACUGAUCAGGUCAGGUAGUAAUGAUGAAUUUGUAAAAAAAAAAAAAAAUAUAUGUAUGGAACAGAAAAUUAAUUUUAAAGAGGCCAUAAAUUUCAUAGAUAAAAGGGCUGAGUAUUUGGAAGAGUUAUAACCUCAAAACG